UGGAUUUCACUGGAAUCGGUCAUAAAAACU
RNAcentral lists this non-coding RNA (30 nucleotides) under Rattus norvegicus (Norway rat). Lineage: Eukaryota; Metazoa; Chordata; Mammalia; Rodentia; Muridae. The record is from RNAcentral.